Molecule: unclassified non-coding RNA, 434 nt
Filed under: Zea mays
Lineage: Eukaryota; Viridiplantae; Streptophyta; Magnoliopsida; Poales; Poaceae
Description: misc RNA Zm00001eb062240
Source: RNAcentral
CCCUUUUGUAACAUCAAUACAACAGCUACUCUACACUGAACAAGUUCCCUCUUGUAUUGCGCAUCACCUAGGCUAGCAUCUUUACAGCACCGAAGAAAAGCGUCUCAGGGCAUGGCGCAUCACGCCUUCCCAUUGCCUGUCUUCUUUGAGACGAAGAGGUGGCGGACGACCGAGAGCUUGCUUGUCGCGCGAGAAACGAGCGAGGAGCCAGAGGAGCUCCUACUGCUCAGUGACGACCUCGUUUCUUCCGAUUCCUCGCCUUCGUUUGGCUCUGAAAGCGGAGGUGGAUGUAUUGUCAUAAUGAAAGUUUCAAGCAUUCGGAUGAUCUGGCUGAAACUGGGUCGCAUGGCAGGAUCCUCAACCCAGCAUGAUUGUACUAUGAACACAAGCUCCUGGGGGGUCUCCUCAGGGAGAGCUGGGCGCUUUUGCUGUUG